CGCAACCCUCGCCCUUAGUUGCCAGCAUUAGUUGGGCACUCUAAGGGGACUGCCGGUGAUAAGCCGAGAGGAAGUGGGGAUGACGUCAAGUCCUCAUGGCCCUUACGGGCUGGGCUACACACGUGCUACAAUGGUGGUGACAGUGGGCAGCGAGCACGCGAGUGUGAGCUAAUCUCCAAAAGCCAUCUCAGUUCGGAUUGCACUCUGCAACUCGAGUGCAUGAAGUUGGAAUCGCUAGUAAUCGCGGAUCAGCAUCGCCGCGGUGAAUACGUUCCCGGGCCUUG
Molecule: ribosomal RNA, 284 nt
Filed under: uncultured Rhizobiaceae bacterium
Lineage: Bacteria; Pseudomonadati; Pseudomonadota; Alphaproteobacteria; Hyphomicrobiales; Rhizobiaceae
Description: partial 16S ribosomal RNA
Rfam family: Bacterial small subunit ribosomal RNA
Source: RNAcentral